GUGAGGAGCAAGCCAUGGCAGUAGCCAAUAUGGAAUACCGGGCAGAGAAGAAGGCAAAAAAGAAGGCUUACUCUCGCUUGAAGCAAAUUGCACGUCUUCAAGGGAAGAAACCUCCUCCUAACCCUUAUCCAAGUGCUAUUAAGGAGAUACAAGCUGAGGAAAGAAAAUUUGUCCGUGAUCGUUUCUUUGACCCCGAAAUUAAAGAGAUUGCACAAAGGUUGAA
This 223-nucleotide unclassified non-coding RNA is filed under the name Hevea brasiliensis (rubber tree). Lineage: Eukaryota; Viridiplantae; Streptophyta; Magnoliopsida; Malpighiales; Euphorbiaceae. The record is from RNAcentral.